CCGACCGGAUAUUAAAAAAAGCAAAUCUCAUGCAUUAUUCAGCCUUCUGAAUCCCUGGAGUAAUGAAGGCUGCUUUUUUCGUUACACCCUUCCCCGGCUGCGCCGGUGGCAGUGUUCAGCCCUUUUUCGGGCAAACUGCUGCCAGUCUGUCCGGGGCGCAACACCGGCAGCCCGUCGCCAUGCUU
Escherichia coli is the source of this 185-nucleotide non-coding RNA. NCBI's taxonomy places the organism in Bacteria, Pseudomonadati, Pseudomonadota, Gammaproteobacteria, Enterobacterales, Enterobacteriaceae. The record is from Rfam.